RNA transcript from Xenopus laevis (African clawed frog), 3574 nucleotides. RefSeq lists it as uncharacterized. The record is from RefSeq and is a predicted model, not a curated record. The transcript is spliced from 2 exons. NCBI's taxonomy places the organism in Eukaryota, Metazoa, Chordata, Amphibia, Anura, Pipidae.
GCCCUGGAUUUGUUCCACAACUACUGAAUGCAUUGAACUAUUGGGUAUUACACACAGAAUACCUGUGGAAGAAGCCAACAAAGAAAUUCGGUGAGCUUGCUCUGAAUACUAUAUUUGCAUCUUUUACUGUGUAUAUGAGAGUAAGGCUUUACCAGUGACAAGAUGUCACAGCUGGGAAAUGAGCAUAAAGGAACAACCACCACGUUUGCAUAUAGCAAUCAUGAAAUCGAACGUAUCUUGGGACAAGGUGAAAACAUAGCCUUAAACUUGGGGAGCUCGAAUAAGAGGGAACCCAUCGAGGAGCUAUUGCUCCUGGAGAAAAGGAUUUUAAAUCUAAAACUGCACCGGUCAACUUUGGCUGAAUAUGUCCGCUCGAAUAUUAUACCAAGAGGGUUGCGAGUGGUUAAUAAACCAAACCUGUGCACUACUAUCCCACUGAUGAAUACAAGGUGGCAAGAAAUCAGCAAUAAAUGUUCUAUUGACUUUAUGGUGCUUACAAUUGAAUGCCUAGAUGUGGAGGUGAAAGAGUUAACAGAGGAGUCUCUGAGAGUUAAAGCUGAAGUGAUUGACAAGCUGGGAGCAACGAGAGUUGAUGCUGCUAUGGCAGAUCACGCUGAUACUCUGACCAAGUUACAGACGGAGAUAACAGAGAGAAAAAGGCGUAAGUUCUUACGAGACCGCAAUGAUUAUGAUAGCGGUCGUGUUUAUUCCUGGAAAGAGGAGCGUAACAGGGACCGCCUAAACAGAAGAGUGGAAGCCCCGCCCCUACAAACAGGAAACUACCAAAGAAGUGUGGAAGAGCCGAGGAAACUUAACUGGCAGAGAGACCUUAGGGAACGCUAUGGAGGGAAUUCCAGACUACCUCGUUAUACAUCUAAGCAGUAUUACAACUCUUUAACUUUAGAUUCCUCGGCAUAUACAAGCACUGAGGACGAGGAAUCGAUUCCCAGCAAAGCUGACCAUUAUUUUUUAGGCGCACGCCCAAAGGAAGGGCCUGGAGCAAUAGGGAAGAAAAAUCCACGCUACCCGAUAGAGAGAGACGCCUAUCCUCAGCGGUAUCGAAACAACAGCAACAACCAGAGGAGGUAAAUCAACUUGUGGUUAAUUUAUCCUCUGUUACACUUACUGAGACUGAACUUAAAGUCCUUAAUAAAGGCCUAGGCUUUGUACCUAGUUAUUCUAUAGACCUUUUCGAUUGGGAGGUGGACUUUUAUAAGUUUAUUCGCUCUGCUAAACUUAAAAUGAAUUUUUCAGGGGUAAAACCUAACACUGCUAUGCCUGAUUUGAAAUUGCCGAUUUUGAAAAAGAAAAGUACAUUUAUCCCUGAUGUAACAUGUGGGGCCCUCGAAAUGUUUACACAGGUGGUCACUGAGGAGGUGAAAAAAGUGUGGGGUAACAAUAGUGGGGUCCGCAAUAAUCUUAAUUAUGAAGAAAGGAAAGCAUUAACCACCCUUAAAAACAAUAAAGAUAUUGUAAUAAAAAAGGCGGAUAAGGGGGGAGCGGUGGUCAUAAUGGAUAUAUCUGCAUAUAGAACAGAGGUUAUGAGACAAUUGGAGACCCCCGGGCACUAUUCCCUAAUUGAAAGCGAUCCAACAAUUAAACUUAAAACGUUAAUUGAUACAAUGGUGUUUGAUGCUUAUACUGCAGGAACAAUAGAUAAGAGCACUAAGGAAUAUCUUAUUACAGACUUUCCCAGAAUACCAAUGCUGUAUAUAUUGCCAAAAAUUCACAAAACACUAGAGAACCCACCUGGAAGACCCAUAGUGUCCGGAAUAGGGUCAGUACUUGAACCCCUCUCCAAACUCGUUGAUCGACAUCUACAAGGUUUAGUUUGUAAUUUGCCUACAUGCCUUAAAGAUACGAAUGAGUUAUUGUUAAAAUUGGAUAAGGUUCAUAAUAUAUCCCCAGGUAUUUGGCUCUGUAGUAUCGACAUACAGAGCCUUUUUACUUCAAUACCCCAAGAUGAGGGGAUUAAAUGUGUGGAGGAUGCUCUCUUGGAAACUAAUUUGUCUAACUCAUAUGUUUAUUUCUUAAUUGACUGCCUUGAAAUUGUAUUAAAAAAGAAUUAUUUCAAAUUUGACGAUCUUUUCUAUUGGCAGAAACAAGGGACGUCGAUGGGUUCAGCGGUCGCCCCAUCCCUUGCAAAUUUAUUUGUAUAUGAUUUGGAGAAUAAAUUAUUUCUGAGAGAGCCAUAUUUGCAGUAUAUUAGAUGCUACUAUAGGUAUGUGGAUGACAUACUGAUCCUUUGGGAUGGACCGUUAGAGGCAUUUAAUAAUAUGGUGGAUACUGCAAAUGAGGCCCACAAUACAGUCAAAUUUACCAGUGAGUCAUCCAACCAAACUAUUAGUUUUUUGGAUGUACAAAUUAAAAUAGAAAAUGGGGGCCUAUGUACAGAUUUGUAUCGGAAACCAAUGGACCGAAAUAAUCUCCUCCACAGUAAGAGUUUCCAUAACCCACGAACACUGGAUGCGAUCCCUAAGGGACAAUUUAUGAGAGCCAAGAAGAUAGCAUCCAGUGAAGUGGGUUAUAAACAUGCAAGUAGCGAUCUGACAGAAAGGUUUCUGCAAAGGGGAUACCCCAAAGGUAAACUUAAAGCAGUGGUAGAAGAGGUGAAAGGGAUGGACCGUGCUGCUUUAUUACAGCCCAAACAAAAGCAGGGUGAGACGGAUAGAUUAACCUUCGUAAGUACAUACGACAAAAGGAGUAAGAAGGUAGAAAAGAUAGUGAAACAAUAUUGGCCACUUCUGCAAACUGAUGCUAUCUUCGGAAAAGUUUUUUCGAAUCCCCCGCGGUUCUCGUAUAAAAAGGGUAAGUCAAUAAGAGACACAUUAUGUGCCAUUUCAAGAGUGGAUAAUAGCAAUACUGUGUUUAAAGGUACACCAAAAGUAGGCACAUACCCGUGCAUGAAUUGCAACUGUUGCAAUUCCAUUAUAAAAGGACCUUGUAUAAAUCAUCCCAUUACAGGUGAGGUAAUCAAACUAAAGUCAUACGCCACAUGUAAAACCAGCCACGUAAUUUAUGCUCUGAAAUGUCCCUGCGGGAAAAUGUACGUAGGGAAGACAAUAAGGUCUGUCAGUACUAGGAUAAAAGAGCAUAAAGGCAAUAUACGCAAUUUUAAAAAUGAUACCUAUACUGACACUCCUGUAGCCAGACAUUUUGAUACUGUAAAACAUAAUGUAUGUCAGCUAAAGUGGAUAGUGUUAGAGACAGUAGCAAAACCCAGUAGAGGAGGUGAUCAUAACUUGAUACUAUUGCAGAGGGAGGCCAGAUGGAUAAAGCGCUUGGAUAGUGCUUAUCCGAAAGGGUUAAAUGAGCAGUGCAAUUUAUCAUGUUUUCUUUAAUAGUAAUGGCUUGUCGUCCUUUGUUCCCAGGAAUUAUAACUAGAUUCCAAGUUGUAAUGACAUGGAACUCCUGCUGCAUUUACAUAUGGGUCUUUUACAGGUUAGGCGGAUUGAGCAGUAACCUGGUUUUAACAUUAUGUUUCAGUGGGAUUUCAACAUGUAUUAUAUGAAAUAAUGUGUGUCACUUUUAAUAGCUAGAUGAAUUGGGUCACAAUAAGUUUUUACAAUAUUUA